UGUUUACGUGCUGAUUCAUGUCCAGAUCAGCUCUUCGUGGCACCAUUCCUAGCUUCGAAUACUCAGCGGGAUCUUCAAGUUUUGCUAUUUUCUUUAGGCUGCCAUUAUUCUCCUCAGGAAAAGCUAACCUCAGUUCUUUUGGAAAAUAGAGCUCCAGCUCAUCACGAACUUCAUCAGUGACCUUUUGAAGCCGUCUUGUGUCCUGGUUCAUCAUGAGCCACUUGCUGGUUGCUCUUCCAAUGACUUCACCAGUAGCGCAGUCUUUGAGAAUCCAAUCGCGUCUAGUCCCAAUCCUGCCUUCACUUUGGCACCAAGUCUCUAUUUCAACAACAUCACUCCAAGCAGGGUACUUAUAGAUCUCAAUGUACAUGCGAGCAGUAACCCAUAUAAGAUGUAAUUUUCUCAUGCUAUGGGUAGUUGCAAAUCCAUCCGUUGAAAAUCCAACACUUUGAUCAUGGUUGCAUCCAACCUCCUG
This 475-nucleotide unclassified non-coding RNA is filed under the name Hevea brasiliensis (rubber tree). Lineage: Eukaryota; Viridiplantae; Streptophyta; Magnoliopsida; Malpighiales; Euphorbiaceae. The record is from RNAcentral.